GACAGAGGGUGCAAACGUUGUUCGGAAUUACUGGGCGUAAAGCGCGUGUAGGCGGCUCGGAUAGUCGGGUGUGAAAGCCCUGGGCUCAACCCAGGAAGUGCACUCGAUACUGCCGAGCUGGAGUCCCGGAGAGGAUGGCGGAAUUCUCGGUGUAGAGGUGAAAUUCGUAGAUAUCGAGAGGAACACCUGUGGCGAAGGCGGCCUUCUGGACGGUGACUGACGCUGAGACGCGAAAGCGUGGGGAGCAAACAGG
RNAcentral lists this ribosomal RNA (253 nucleotides) under uncultured bacterium. RNAcentral describes it as "partial 16S ribosomal RNA". It matches the Rfam family "Bacterial small subunit ribosomal RNA", at positions 524 to 776 of the family's 1533-position model. The record is from RNAcentral.